This 7338-nucleotide long non-coding RNA is filed under the name Nicotiana benthamiana. RNAcentral's name for it is "long non-coding RNA (NBEN_LNC019377)". The record is from RNAcentral. Lineage: Eukaryota; Viridiplantae; Streptophyta; Magnoliopsida; Solanales; Solanaceae.
GAUCAUGGAAAAGAUGCGCCGUGAUAAACUCCCACAAAUCGUAAAGUCUCCUGGGCGGAGAGCCUACAUCGACAGUUGUCUACAAAUGAGGACCUGUGGUCACCCUGCAACACAAAUAGCUGAUCCUCGGCAGGUCCAGGAUGCCCAGGUGGAGGAAAGGUCAUGUCGUCUACUAUAAUUUAAACAAAAUUAAUUGUUUGUGUUAGUUUAAUANNNNNNNNNNNNNNNNNNNNNNNNNNNNNNNNNNNNNNNNNNNNNNNNNNNNNNNNNNNNNNNNNNNNNNNNNNNNNNNNNNNNNNNNNNCUAAUUAUGUUUAAUAUUGGAGUGAAUAGUUAUGUAUGGGUUCCAGGCUUGAUUUUUGAGGCACCGUAGUACCGAGUUAUCCUAAUUAAUAUGUGUGUCAAUUUCAACAAUUUUUAGAAUAUUAUUACCUUAAAAAAAUAAAUUAUAAAUUUUUGAAUUGGAGUGAAUUUUGAGGCCCGAUAGCACUGAGUUAUCCUUAAUUAUUAUGCGUCUCAAUUUCAACAUUUUUAGAAUUUUGUUAGUUACUAAGAUUCUACGCUAAAAUGCUCUAUAUUUUACUACGCUAAAAGGCUCUAUCAUUUACUAUGUUAAAAGGCUCUGUAUUUUACGAUGCUGAAAUGCACUAUAUAUUACUACGCCAAAAGGCUCUACAUACUAAUUUAUCAAAAAUAAUAUGAACAUAACAUUAACAAUACAAAUAAAAUAAAUAAAUAAUACAGAUUAUUUAAUGAUACCAAUUAUUUAUCAAAUUUUAAUUAUGUUUGGUAUUAAAGCUAAUAAAUCAAUUUGGGUACAUAAAAGAUACAAAAUUAAACACAAACAUAAAGAUAAAUUCACAUGGAAACACACAAAAUAAUACAAAUUUUUGAAUUGAAGUGAAUAGAUACGUAUGGGUUCGAGGCUUCAUUUUUGGGCCCGGUAGCACUGAGUUAUCCUUAAUUAUUAUGCGUGUCAAUUCAACUUUUUUUAGAAUUUUGUUACCUUAAAAAAUUAAAUUAUUAAUUUUUGAAUUGGAGUGAAUAAUUAUGUAUGGGUUGCAGGCUUGAUUUUUGGGGUCCGGUAGCACCGAGUUAUCCUUAAUUAUUAUGCGUCUCAAUUUCAAAAACUUUUAAAAUUUUGUUGCCUUAAAGAAUAAAAUUAUAAAUUUUUGAAUUGGAGUGAAUAAAUCUCAAUUUCAACAAUCUUUAAAAUUUUGUUGCCCAAAAGAAUAAAAUAAUAAAUUUUUGAAUUGGAGUGAAUAACGUAUGCGUUCCAGGCUUCAUUUUGGGGGCCCGGUAGCACCGAGUUAUUCUUAAUUAUUAUGCGUAUCAAUUUCAACAAUUUUUAGAAUUUUAGUACCUUAAAAAAUUAAAUUAUAAAUUUUUGAAUUGGAGUGAAUAAUUAUGUAUGGGUUGCAGGCUUGAUUUUUGGGGUCCGGUAGCACCGAGUUAUCCUUAAUUAUUAUGCAUCUCAAUUUCAACAAUCUUUAAAAUUUUGUUGCCCAAAAGAAUAAAAUAAUAAAUUUUUGAAUUGGAGUGAAUAACGUAUGCGUUCCAGGCUUCAUUUUGGGGGCCCGGUAGCACCGAGUUAUUCUUAAUUAUUAUGCGUAUCAAUUUCAACAAUUUUUAGAAUUUUAGUACCUUAAAAAAUUAAAUUAUAAAUUUUUGAAUUGGAGUGAAUAAUUAUGUAUGGGUUGCAGGCUUGAUUUUUGGGGUCCGGUAGCACCGAGUUAUCCUUAAUUAUUAUGCGUCUCAAUUUCAAAAACUUUUAAAAUUUUGUUGCCUUAAAGAAUAAAAUUAUAAAUUUUUGAAUUGGAGUGAAUAAUUAUGUAUGCGUUCCAGGCAUCAUUUUGGGGGCCCGGUAGCACCGAGUUAUUCUUAAUUAUUAUGCGUGUCAAUUUCAACAAUUUUUAGAACUUUGUUACCUUAAAGAAUUAAAUUAUAAAUUUCUGAAUUGGAGUGAAUAAUUAUGUAUGGGUUCCAAGCUUGAUUUUUGGGCCCGGCAGCACCGAGUUAUCCUUAAUUUUUAUGCAUCUCAAUUUCAACAAUUUUUAGAAUUUUGUUACCUUAAAGAAUUAAACUAUAAAUUUUUGAAUAGGAAUGAAUAAUUAUGUAUGGGUCCAGGCUUGAUUUUUGGGGGCCCGAUAGCACCGAGUUAUCCUUAGUUAUUAUGCAUCUCAAUUUCAAUAAUUCUUAGAAAUUUGUUACCUUAAUGAAUUAAAUUAUACAUUUUUGAAUUGGAGUGAAUAAUUAUGUAUGUUCCAGGCUAGAUUUUUUGGGCUCGGUAGCACUGAGUUAUCCUUAAAUAUUAUGUGUGUCAAUUUCAACAAUUUUUAGAAUUUUGUUACCUUAAAGGAUUAAAUUAUAAAAUUUUGAAUUGGAGUGAGUAAUUAUGUAAGGGUUACGUGCUUAAUUUUUAGGGCCCGGUAGCACAGAUUUAUCAUUAAUUAUUAUGAAUCUCAAUUUCAACAAUUUUAAGAAUUUUUUAUCUUAAAGAAAUAAUUAUAAAUUUUUAAAUUGGAGUGAAUAAUUAUGUAUGGGUUCCAAGCUUGAUUUUUGGGGUCCGGUAGCACCGACUUAUCCUUAAUUAUUAUACAUGUCAAUUUCAAUAAUUUUUAGAAUUUUUUUACCUUAAAGAAUUAAAUUAUAAAAUUUUGAAUUAGAUGUAAUAAUUAUGUAUGAGUUCCAGGAUUGAUUUUUGGGGCCCGGUAGCACCGAGUUUUUUUUUGGUAAUUCAGAAUUUUAUUAAUCACCAAAGAUGUUGCAAUACAUAAUCAUAGUUCAGCUUAUACACAGCUGACUAUCUCAUCUAAUCUAUGUCACCAACUAUCUCUAUAACUAACCUUACCUAUAUUUACAAGAGAAAUUGCUGCAUAUGUUGUCUAACUUAGGAGUUCCUCCAACAUUACAAAUAUAGGCUAGUUUCCUGAGUAAAGUAUCACUGCUACGGAAGACAUUCUCGAAUAUCCUCGAGCUUCUCUCCAGCCACAAAGUAUAGAAUAAUUCAGCAGUCACCAUUUUGAAUAUAUUAGCUCUACAAGAUUUUCCUUUACCUUUGCUAACAAUCUACUGGAGAUACUGGUCCCAGUUUCGCAUUCUGGGAUGGUGUCUACAAGAUUUUACUUUAGCUUUGCUAACUAUCCACUGGAGGUACUGGUCCCAGUUCUACAUUCUGGUAUGGUCUUCUCUAAUCCAGGUCAGUGUUUGCUCCCUUAAGUCUGUUGCAUAUGGAUAGGUAAGGAACAGAUGAUCUCUGGAUGCUGCAAUAUUCUGGCACAACACACAUUUCUGGUCCACAUUUAUUCCCCAAUGUGUUAGCCUAUCCUUGGUUGGAAGUCUGUUAUGGAGUACUAACCAUAAGUUGAAAACAACUUUGAGUCUGGCAUAGUUCAGAACAGUUAGGUUCUUCCAGGGGACUCUCGGGAGUUAACCAAUGUGUAGUAGAUAGAUUUGUCUAAUGGAGCAUACUGGCAUAUUAAGGCCUUGUUGUUGUUGCAGCACAUCUUUUGCUGCUAUGAUCUUUCUAACCAUCCAACUAGCUUGUCUUGGAAUAUGAAUUUUCUCCAAUUGGUGCAGCUUCAUAUAGACAGCAUGAAUCCAUUUACCCACAGUCUGUCUUUCUUGUGAGCCAGAUCCCAGCAGAGUUUAGCAAUUGCAGCCUUGUUCCAAAGAGAUAGGUUAAUGAGAUUCAAACACCAGCUGAUUUAGGAAUACACAUUUUGUCCCAGGAUAUAUAAGAUUUUUUAGUGAUGACAUUUGAUCCAGACCAGAUGAAGCUUCUACAUGUUGCUUCAAUUAGCUUCAGUAUCUUUGUAGGGAUGAUGAAGAGUUGAGCCCAGUAUGCCUGUAUUCCAAAAACCACUGAUUGCACCAGUUGCCGCCUCCCAGCAUAUGACAGUUUCCUAGCAGCCCAUGAGGUGAUCCUAGCAGUGAUCUUUUUCACCUUGAACCAGUUGCAGCCUCCCAGCAUAUGACAGUUUCCUAGCAGUCCAUGAAGUGAUCCUAGCAGUGAUCUUUUCCACUAGUGGUUGCCACUGGAUCAAUGACAUCUUCUUGGUGGAUAGAGGAAUGCCUAGGUAUUUGAAAGGUAAUUCUCCAUAAAUAUAGCUAAGAUGACCAGUAAUCUGUUAUUGUACUUCAUGAUUAACCCCUCCAAAGUAUACUGAGCUUUUGCACAGAUUAGCUUUCAGUCCUGAGGCUUCAGUGAAUUGGGAAAAGAACUGGAACAUGGUAAUGACAGACUUGAUUUCACCUUUAGCAAAUAGGAGUAGGUCAUCAGCAAAGCAUAUGUGAGUAAUGCCCAGCUUUUUACAUCCCUGAUGGUAUAGAAAAUCUUGAUCUUUCCUUAAUUCAGCCAGUGACCUGCUAAGAUACUCCAUGACUAUUGCAAAUAAGAAAGGGGAUAUUGGAUCUCCUUGUCUNNNNNNNNNNNNNNNNNNNNNNNNNNGACCUGCUAAGAUACUCCAUGACUAUUGCAAAUAAGAAUGGGGAUACUGGAUCUCCUUGUCUGAGGCCUUUAGCAGCUUUAAAUGGUUCAGUUGUUUCCCAUUUGUCAUCACUGUAUAGCUUACUGUUUGGACACACUCCAUAAUCCAGUUAAUGAACCUAGUUGGAAAUCCCAAUCCCUCCAGUACCUGUUGCAAGAAGAUCCAUUCAACAGAAUCAUAAUCCUUCUGAAGGUCAAUUUUUAUCAUGCAUCUGGGAGUCACAUGGGUUCUGGAAUAGUUUUUGAUCAACUCAUGAGCCAGGAUGACAUUAUCUGCAAUCAUCCUGCCUGAGAUGAAACCUGCUUGAGCCUCACAAAUGAUACUAGGCAUGACCUUCUGCAUUCUGUUGGCUAAGAUUUUGGAAAUCAUUUUAUAUAGGACUGAGUAGCAUGCAAUUGGUCUAUACUCUUUAACUGUGAUUGGGUUAGGGACUUUGGGGAUUAAAGUAAGAGUGGCACAAUUUAUUGGCUUAUACAUCUUGGUUGUAUGGAAGAACUCCUUGAUUGCACCAAUGAUCUGCUUGCCAAUAAUAUUCCAGGUUUUCUUGAAAAAUACUGCAUUAAAUCCAUCAAUUCCUGGAGCUUUGUCAUCCCCAAUUGCCUUUAAGCUCUCCACAAUUUCAAGCUAAGUUAUGUCAGCACUUAGCUCUUUCCUCUGUUGUUGUGUUAAGAUAGGGCCAUUAGCCAUAUACAGUCUAUUUAUGGCUGGUAGAGAAGUAGCUUAUGAGCCCAUUAUGACUUAUAGAAGUCAGUGAUCUCCUUUUUAAUGUCUGCUGGUGUAGUAACUUUGAUACCCAUUGCUGUAAUAAGCUCUGUGAUCUGCUUAUAUUUGUUUCUUUCUUUCAGGACAACACAGAAAUACUUGUUGUUUGAGUCUCCAAGUUGAAUCCAAUUUGCUCUAGCCUUCUGUUGUAGGAUACUUUCUUCAAUCAAGGACCAUCUUUCCAGCUUCAAUACUAUUUCUUUCUCUUUAAGCUGCAGCUCAUCAUUGUAUGCCAGUGCCAUUUGAUUCUGUAUGUCUUUCAAUUCUUGUCUGCUAUGGUCAAUUCUCUGAGCAAUGUUCCUAAAAUCUUUAAUAUUUAAAGACUUUAGGGGCCCUUUCAAUGACUUGAGAUUGGACCAUACUGAUUUCAUAGAAAACAGAUUGUUGCAGUGCCAGUUGUCUUUUACCAGAUGCUGAAAGUCUUCAUGAUCAGCCCAUGUAUUGAAAAAUUUGAAAGGUAUCUUCCCUUUCCUAGUAUCUUCUGCCACUGUUAUUAUCAUAGGAUUAUGAUAAGAGAUUAGGGGAUGAUCAUAAAAAGUUUCCACAUGGCUUCACUUGAUCAUCCAUUCAUAGUUACCAAAUACUCUGUCCAGUCUGCUGCAUACUCUAUCAUUGCAUGUCUGCCUAUUUGUCCAAGUGAAAUAAUCACCUUUCCAAGGUAGUUCUGAAAGCCCAGCAUGUUGUAUGCUUUGAGUAAACUCUUGAGUCUCUGAAUACUUAACAUGAUUACUUGACUGUCUAUCACUGGCAUAUAACACAGCAUUGAAAUCUCCAGCAACUAACCAUUGAAUACUUAACAUGGUUACUUGACUGUCUAUCACUGGCAUAUAACACAACAUUGAAAUCUCCAGCAACUAACCAUGCCUCAGUAAUAGCAACUGAGAAAUCCUGCAGAUUUUUCCAUAGAGAUCUUCUCUGGUCCACCGCAUUAUAUCCAUAUACCACAGUUAGAUAGCAAGUGACAUCCCCAGUAUUGCUUCUGACUCUACAGUGUAGCAGUUGAGCCUCCUCCUGGAUACCAGUGACUGUGAGCAGCUUUCUAUCCCAUAAAAUCCACACUGUACCAUUUAUAGAACCAUUAUAAUUUGCUAGGACACCCCAACCAGAAAUCAACAGCUUAGCAAUUCUUCUUGCAUUUUUUUCUUUAACCUUAGUUAUCAUUAAUUAUUAUGCGUCUCAAUUUCAACAAUUUUAGAACUUUGUUACCUUAAAGAAUUAAAUUAUAAAUUUUUGAAUUGGAGUGAAUAAUUAUGUAUGGGUUCUAGGCUUGAUUUUGGGGGCCCGGUAGCACCGAGUUAUCCUUAAUUAUUAUGUAUGGGUUCCAGGCUUGAUUUUGGGGGUCCGAUAGCACCGAGUUAUCCUUAAUUAUUAUGCGUCUCAAUUUCAAUAAUUUUUAUAAUUUUUUUUACCUUAAAGAAUUAAAUUAUAUAUUUUUGAAUUGGAGUGAAUAAUUAUGUAUGGGUUCCAGGCUUGAUUUUUGGAGCCUGGUAGCACCAAGUUAUUCUUAAUUAUUAUGCGUGUCAAUUUCAACAAUUUAUAGAAUUUUUUUACCUUAAAGAAUUAAAUUAUAAAGUUUUGAAUUAGAGUGAAUUUUUGAGGUCCGGUAGCACCGAGUUAUCCUUAAUUUUUAUGUGCCUCAAUUUCAACAUUUUUAGAAUUUUGUUAGCUACUAAAACUCUACAUUAAAAGGAUUUAUAUUUUACUACGCUAAAAGACUCUAUAAUUUACUACGCUAAAAGACACUAUAUUUUACUAUGCUAAAAGGCUCUACAUACAAAUUUAUCAACAAUAAUAUGAACAUAACAUUAACAAUACAAAUAAAACAAAUAAGUAAUACAAAUUCACAAAAAUUAAUAAACCAUUCCAGGUAUAUUAAAGAUACAAAAUUAAACACAAACAUAACAUAAAUUCACAUGGAAACACACUAAAAAAUACAGAUAUAUAUACUAUAAGAGUUUUGCCAUAAUCUAAAUCGAAAUACCUCGAUUUAAGGUUUUUGAAUAUUAUUGAAAUUGAAUUUUUUUCACUGUUUCGCCAUAAUCUAAAUUGAAAUACCUCGAUUUAAGGUUUCUGAAUAUUAUUGAAAU